Molecule: unclassified non-coding RNA, 281 nt
Filed under: plant metagenome
Description: partial contains small subunit ribosomal RNA, internal transcribed spacer 1, and 5.8S ribosomal RNA
Source: RNAcentral
UUUCCGUAGGUGAACCUGCGGAAGGAUCAUUGUCGAAGCCUGCCCAGCAGAACGACCCGCGAACUUGUAUAAACAACCGGGGGCAGGGGCGAUCUCGCCCCGUGCCCUCGAACGGCAGGGAGACACUCGUGCCUUCUUGUCGAACAACGAGCCCCGGCGCGGUCUGCGCCAAGGAACUUCAAUUAAAGAGUGCCUCCGGUCGCCUCGGAAACGAUGCGCGUGUCGGAGGCGAAUCUUGUACAAAACCAUAACGACUCUCGGCAACGGAUAUCUCGGCUCUC